GGGCCCGUAGCUUAGCCAGGUAGAGCGACGGGCUCUUAACCAUGUAAGAAAAGCGGAGAUACCCGUAGUCCCGGGUUCGAAUCCCGGCGGGCCCG
This 95-nucleotide transfer RNA is filed under the name Saccharolobus solfataricus P2. Its description in RNAcentral is "Sulfolobus solfataricus P2 tRNA". It matches the Rfam family "tRNA". Rfam says of the family: Transfer RNA (tRNA) molecules are approximately 80 nucleotides in length. Their secondary structure includes four short double-helical elements and three loops (D, anti-codon, and T loops). Further hydrogen bonds mediate the characteristic L-shaped molecular structure. tRNAs have two regions of fundamental functional importance: the anti-codon, which is responsible for specific mRNA codon recognition, and the 3' end, to which the tRNAs corresponding amino acid is attached (by aminoacyl-tRNA synthetases). tRNAs cope with the degeneracy of the genetic code in two manners: having more than one tRNA (with a specific anti-codon) for a particular amino acid; and 'wobble' base-pairing, i.e. permitting non-standard base-pairing at the 3rd anti-codon position. The record is from Rfam by way of RNAcentral. Lineage: Archaea; Thermoproteati; Thermoproteota; Thermoprotei; Sulfolobales; Sulfolobaceae.